This 1832-nucleotide ribosomal RNA is filed under the name Escherichia coli. RNAcentral's name for it is "partial 23S ribosomal RNA". It matches the Rfam family "Bacterial large subunit ribosomal RNA", at positions 419 to 2236 of the family's 2925-position model. The record is from RNAcentral. Lineage: Bacteria; Pseudomonadati; Pseudomonadota; Gammaproteobacteria; Enterobacterales; Enterobacteriaceae.
GGGACACGUGGUAUCCUGUCUGAAUAUGGGGGGACCAUCCUCCAAGGCUAAAUACUCCUGACUGACCGAUAGUGAACCAGUACCGUGAGGGAAAGGCGAAAAGAACCCCGGCGAGGGGAGUGAAAAAGAACCUGAAACCGUGUACGUACAAGCAGUGGGAGCACGCUUAGGCGUGUGACUGCGUACCUUUUGUAUAAUGGGUCAGCGACUUAUAUUCUGUAGCAAGGUUAACCGAAUAGGGGAGCCGAAGGGAAACCGAGUCUUAACUGGGCGUUAAGUUGCAGGGUAUAGACCCGAAACCCGGUGAUCUAGCCAUGGGCAGGUUGAAGGUUGGGUAACACUAACUGGAGGACCGAACCGACUAAUGUUGAAAAAUUAGCGGAUGACUUGUGGCUGGGGGUGAAAGGCCAAUCAAACCGGGAGAUAGCUGGUUCUCCCCGAAAGCUAUUUAGGUAGCGCCUCGUGAAUUCAUCUCCGGGGGUAGAGCACUGUUUCGGCAAGGGGGUCAUCCCGACUUACCAACCCGAUGCAAACUGCGAAUACCGGAGAAUGUUAUCACGGGAGACACACGGCGGGUGCUAACGUCCGUCGUGAAGAGGGAAACAACCCAGACCGCCAGCUAAGGUCCCAAAGUCAUGGUUAAGUGGGAAACGAUGUGGGAAGGCCCAGACAGCCAGGAUGUUGGCUUAGAAGCAGCCAUCAUUUAAAGAAAGCGUAAUAGCUCACUGGUCGAGUCGGCCUGCGCGGAAGAUGUAACGGGGCUAAACCAUGCACCGAAGCUGCGGCAGCGACGCUUAUGCGUUGUUGGGUAGGGGAGCGUUCUGUAAGCCUGUGAAGGUGUGCUGUGAGGCAUGCUGGAGGUAUCAGAAGUGCGAAUGCUGACAUAAGUAACGAUAAAGCGGGUGAAAAGCCCGCUCGCCGGAAGACCAAGGGUUCCUGUCCAACGUUAAUCGGGGCAGGGUGAGUCGACCCCUAAGGCGAGGCCGAAAGGCGUAGUCGAUGGGAAACAGGUUAAUAUUCCUGUACUUGGUGUUACUGCGAAGGGGGGACGGAGAAGGCUAUGUUGGCCGGGCGACGGUUGUCCCGGUUUAAGCGUGUAGGCUGGUUUUCCAGGCAAAUCCGGAAAAUCAAGGCUGAGGCGUGAUGACGAGGCACUACGGUGCUGAAGUAACAAAUGCCCUGCUUCCAGGAAAAGCCUCUAAGCAUCAGGUAACAUCAAAUCGUACCCCAAACCGACACAGGUGGUCAGGUAGAGAAUACCAAGGCGCUUGAGAGAACUCGGGUGAAGGAACUAGGCAAAAUGGUGCCGUAACUUCGGGAGAAGGCACGCUGAUAUGUAGGUGAAGUCCCUUGCGGAUGGAGCUGAAAUCAGUCGAAGAUACCAGCUGGCUGCAACUGUUUAUUAAAAACACAGCACUGUGCAAACACGAAAGUGGACGUAUACGGUGUGACGCCUGCCCGGUGCCGGAAGGUUAAUUGAUGGGGUCAGCGCAAGCGAAGCUCUUGAUCGAAGCCCCGGUAAACGGCGGCCGUAACUAUAACGGUCCUAAGGUAGCGAAAUUCCUUGUCGGGUAAGUUCCGACCUGCACGAAUGGCGUAAUGAUGGCCAGGCUGUCUCCACCCGAGACUCAGUGAAAUUGAACUCGCUGUGAAGAUGCAGUGUACCCGCGGCAAGACGGAAAGACCCCGUGAACCUUUACUAUAGCUUGACACUGAACAUUGAGCCUUGAUGUGUAGGAUAGGUGGGAGGCUUGGAAGUGUGGACGCCAGUCUGCAUGGAGCCGACCUUGAAAUACCACCCUUUAAUGUUUGAUGUUCUAACGUUGACCCGU